UAGGGAAUCUUCCACAAUGGACGCAAGUCUGAUGGAGCAACGCCACGUGAGUGAAGAAGGUUUUCGGACCGUAAAGCUCUGUUGUUGGUGAAGAAGGAUAGAGGUAGUAACUGGCCUUUAUUUGACGGUAAUCAACCAGAAAGUCACGGCUAACUACGUGCCAGCAGCCGCGGUAAUACGUAGGUGGCAAGCGUUGUCCGGAUUUAUUGGGCGUAAAGCGAGCGCAGGCGGAAGAAUAAGUCUGAUGUGAAAGCCCUCGGCUUAACCGAGGAAUUGCAUCGGAAACUGUUUUCUUGAGUGCAGAAGAGGAGAGUAGAACUCCAUGUGUAGCGGUGGAAUGCGUAGAUAUAUGGAAGAAUACCAGUGGCGAAGGCGGCUCUCUGGUCUGCAACUGACGCUGAGGCUCGAAAGCAUGGGUAGCGAACAGGAUUAGAUACCCUUGGUAGUCCAUGCCGUAAACGAUGAGUGCUAAGUGUUGGGAGGCUUCCGCCUCUCAGUGCUGCAGCUAACGCAUUAAGCACUCCGCCUGGGGGAGUACGACCGCAAGGUUGAAAC
RNAcentral lists this ribosomal RNA (555 nucleotides) under uncultured bacterium. Its description in RNAcentral is "partial 16S ribosomal RNA". It matches the Rfam family "Bacterial small subunit ribosomal RNA", at positions 355 to 900 of the family's 1533-position model. The record is from RNAcentral.